Molecule: ribosomal RNA, 540 nt
Filed under: uncultured bacterium
Lineage: Bacteria
Description: bacterial SSU rRNA
Rfam family: Bacterial small subunit ribosomal RNA
Source: RNAcentral
UUUGCACAAUGGNCGAAAGCCUGNUGCAGCAACGCCGCGUGCGCGAAGAAGGUCUUCGGAUCGUAAAGCGCUUUUCUGGGAGAUGAGAAAGGACAGUAUCCCAGGAAUAAGUCUCGGCUAACUACGUGCCAGCAGCCGCGGUAAAACGUAGGAGGCGAGCGUUAUCCGGAUUCACNUGGGCGUAAAGCGCGUGCAGGCGGUUUGGUAAGUUGGGCGUGAAAGCUCCCGGCUCAACUGGGAGAGGUCGUCCAAAACUACCAGACUAGAGAGCGAUAGAGGAAAAUGGAAUUCCCGGUGUAGUGGUGAAAUGCGUAGAUAUCGGGAGGAACACCAGUGGCGAAGGCGAUUUUCUGGAUCGUUUCUGACGCUCAGACGCGAAAGCUAGGGUAGCAAACGGGAUUAGAGACCCCGGUAGUCCUAGCUGUAAACGAUGUGAACUUGGCGUUGGUGGGUUAAACUCCAUCAGUGCCGUAGCUAACGCGAUAAGUUCACCGCCUGGGGACUACGGCCGCAAGGUUAAAACUCAAAGAAAUUGACGGA